AGGUUUUCUUUGCUCUUGGAAUUUCCUUUCUUUUGCUUCUCAUUUGUGUUUGUUUAUUCUUGUUCUAAACUCGUUGUCCAUGGUGAAAGCUUGAAGCAUUGUCAACUCUCAAACGCCUCAAUUCGUUGCUCGUCGAAAGGUGUCGAAAAUGAAGAAAGGGACGGAGACGGUGAAGACAUUGAUCUUACUUGAGAAGAUCUUUUAUGAAGAUUUCUACAUGUUCUAAGAAUCUUUUUGCUAUCGAACAUUUUGAAACUUAUCCUAAAUCUUGAAAUGUAAAACUUAAUUAUGCAUUUUGGGUUGAACAUUUUGCUUUUACGGGUAUAUAUGUUGGAUUAGGAAUGUUGGAUAUUUUGGAUUAUGAAAAAUUGUGUUUUCUGGUUUA
Long non-coding RNA from Lycium ferocissimum, 385 nucleotides. RefSeq lists it as uncharacterized. The transcript is spliced from 2 exons. NCBI's taxonomy places the organism in Eukaryota, Viridiplantae, Streptophyta, Magnoliopsida, Solanales, Solanaceae. The record is from RefSeq and is a predicted model, not a curated record.